Ceratotherium simum simum (southern white rhinoceros) is the source of this 250-nucleotide non-coding RNA. The record is from RefSeq and is a predicted model, not a curated record. NCBI's taxonomy places the organism in Eukaryota, Metazoa, Chordata, Mammalia, Perissodactyla, Rhinocerotidae.
AUGUGUAUACAAUGGAAUGUUAUUCAGCCAUAACGAAAAUGAAAUCUGUAUUUUAACAAGUUCCUCAGGUGAUUCUUAUGUGUGCUAACUGGGUACAACGGUGUCUGUCUUCCUUUUACCAUCACCUUUGUACAGUCACGCGCUGCAUAACGAUGUUUUGGUCAAUGAUGGACCGCAUAUGGGAUGGUGGUCCCAUAAGAUUAGUACCGUGUAGCCUAGGUGUGGAGUGGGCUGUAUCCACUAGGGAUGU